GAUGAACGCUGGCGGCGUGCCUAAUACAUGCAAGUCGAGCGAACAGACGAGGAGCUUGCUUCUUCGACGUUAGCGGCGGACGGGUGAGUAACACGUAGGUAACCUACCUAUAAGACUGGGAUAACUUCGGGAAACCGGAGCUAAUACCGGAUAAUAUUUCGAACCGCAUGGUUCGAUAGUGAAAGAUGGCUUUGCUAUCACUUAUAGAUGGACCUGCGCCGUAUUAGCUAGUUGGUAAGGUAACGGCUUACCAAGGCAACGAUACGUAGCCGACCUGAGAGGGUGAUCGGCCACACUGGAACUGAGACACGGUCCAGACUCCUACGGGAGGCAGCAGUAGGGAAUCUUCCGCAAAGGGCGAAAGCCUGACGGAGCAACGCCGCGUGAGUGAUGAAGGUCUUCGGAUCGUAAAACUCUGUUAUUAGGGAAGAACAAACGUGUAAGUAACUGUGCACGUCUUGACGGUACCUAAUCAGAAAGCCACGGCUAACUACGUG
RNAcentral lists this ribosomal RNA (497 nucleotides) under uncultured bacterium. RNAcentral describes it as "partial 16S ribosomal RNA". It matches the Rfam family "Bacterial small subunit ribosomal RNA", at positions 28 to 507 of the family's 1533-position model. The record is from RNAcentral.